AAGACCUUGCACUUUGGAGCGGCCGAUGUCUGAUUAGCUAGUUGGUGGGGUAAUGGCCUACCAAAGCUUCGAUCAGUAGCUGGUCUGAGAGGACGGCCAGCCACACUGGGACUGAGACACGGCCCAGACUCCUACGGGAGGCAGCAGUGGGGAAUUUUGGACAAUGGGCGCAAGCCUGAUCCAGCCAUGCCGCGUGAGUGAAGAAGGCCUUCGGGUUGUAAAGCUCUUUCAGCCGGGAAGAAAAGGUUGCGACUAAUAAUCGCAAUCCAUGACGGUACCGAAAGAAGAAGCACCGGCUAACUACGUGCCAGCAGCCGCGGUAAUACGUAGGGUGCGAGCGUUAAUCGGAAUUACUGGGCGUAAAGGGUGCGCAGGCGGUUUUGUAAGUCAGAUGUGAAAUCCCCGGGCUUAACCUGGGAACU
Molecule: ribosomal RNA, 422 nt
Filed under: uncultured bacterium
Lineage: Bacteria
Description: bacterial SSU rRNA
Rfam family: Bacterial small subunit ribosomal RNA
Source: RNAcentral